Molecule: ribosomal RNA, 484 nt
Filed under: uncultured bacterium
Lineage: Bacteria
Description: partial 16S ribosomal RNA
Rfam family: Bacterial small subunit ribosomal RNA
Source: RNAcentral
AUUGAACGCUGGCGGCAGGCCUAACACAUGCAAGUCGAGCGGAUGAAGGGAGCUUGCUCCUGGAUUCAGCGGCGGACGGGUGAGUAAUGCCUAGGAAUCUGCCUGGGAGUGGGGGAUAACGUCCGGAAACGGGCGCUAAUACCGCAUACGUCCUGAGGGAGAAAGUGGGGGAUCUUCGGACCUCACGCUAUCAGAUGAGCCUAGGUCGGAUUAGCUAGUUGGUGGGGUAAAGGCCUACCAAGGCGACGAUCCGUAACUGGUCUGAGAGGAUGAUCAGUCACACUGGAACUGAGACACGGUCCAGACUCCUACGGGAGGCAGCAGUGGGGAAUAUUGGAAAAUGGGCGAAAGCAUGAUCCAGACAUGCCGCGUGUGUGAAGAAGGUCUUCGGAUUGUAAAGCACUUUAAGUUGGGAGGAAGGGCAGUAAGUUAAUACCUUGCUGUUUUGACGUUAACAACAGAAUAAGCACCGGCUAACUUCGUG